AGAGUUUGAUCCUGGCUCAGAACGAACGCUGGCGGCGUGGAUUAGGCAUGCAAGUCGAACGUGAUCCAGAAGUGUAGCAAUACAAGUCUGGUGAAAGUGGCGAAAGGGUGAGUAACGCGUGGGCAAUCUGCCUCGAAGUUGGGGAUAGCCUUCCGAAAGGAGGGAUAAUACCGAAUGUGGUCUCCUGGCGCAUGUCAGGAUGUCUAAAGGUGGGGAUCCGCAAGGACCUGCCGCUUUGAGAUGGGCCCGCGUACUAUCAGCUUGUUGGUGAGGUAACGGCUCACCAAGGCUAAGACGGUUAGCUGGUCUGAGAGGAUGGUCAGCCACACUGGGACUGAGACACUGCCCAGACUCCUACGGGAGGCUGCAGUCGAGAAUCAUUUGCAAUGGGCGCAAGCCUGACAGUGCGACGCCGCGUGCAGGAUGAAGGCCUUCGGGUUGUAAACUGCUGUCAUGGGGGAGCAAUAGCGCGGGUGUGAAUAGCACCGGCGUAUGAUAGUACCCCAGGAGGAAGCCACGGCUAACUCUGUGCCAGCAGCCGCGGUAAUACAGAGGUGGCGAGCGUUGUUCGGAUUUACUGGGCGUAAAGGGUGCGUAGGCGGUCCCGUAUGUCGGAUGUGAAAGCCCACGGCUUAACUGUGGAAUGUCAUCCGAAACUGCGGGGCUAGAGUACUGGAGAGGAGAGCGGAAUUCUCGGUGUAGCGGUGAAAUGCGUAGAGAUCGAGAGGAACGCCGGUGGCGAAGGCGGCUCUCUGGAAAGAUACUGACGCUGAGGCACGAAAGCUGGGGGAGCAAACAGGAUUAGAUACCCUGGUAGUCCCAGCCGUAAACGGUGUGCACUUGGUGUGGGAGGCUUUAUCCCCUUCCGCGCCGGAGCUAACGCGUUAAGUGCACCGCCUGGGGAGUACGGUCGCAAGACUAAAACUCAAAGGAAUUGACGG
RNAcentral lists this ribosomal RNA (941 nucleotides) under uncultured Lentisphaerota bacterium. RNAcentral's name for it is "bacterial SSU rRNA". It matches the Rfam family "Bacterial small subunit ribosomal RNA", at positions 8 to 916 of the family's 1533-position model. The record is from RNAcentral. Lineage: Bacteria; Pseudomonadati; Lentisphaerota.